This 774-nucleotide ribosomal RNA is filed under the name uncultured Neocallimastigales. RNAcentral describes it as "partial large subunit ribosomal RNA". It matches the Rfam family "Eukaryotic large subunit ribosomal RNA", at positions 24 to 644 of the family's 3401-position model. Lineage: Eukaryota; Fungi; Neocallimastigomycota; Neocallimastigomycetes; Neocallimastigales. The record is from RNAcentral.
UAUGUGAUCGUCUCUCGCAUAUCAAUAAGCGGAGGAAAAGAAACUAACAAGGAUUCCCCUAGUAACGGCGAGUGAAGCGGGAAGAGCUCAAAUUUGAAAUCUUAAAGGGUUUCCCUUUACGAAUUGUAGUUUAAAGAAGUGUUUUCUGUUGAGGUUUUGGUAAAAGUUCUUUGGAAUAGGACAUCAUAGAGGGUGAGAAUCCCGUAUUUGACCUUUACUUUCAACUUUGUGAUACACUUUCAAAGAGUCGGAUUGUUUGGGAAUGCAGUCCAAAAUGGGUGGUAAAUUUCAUCUAAAGCUAAAUAUUGGCGAGAGACCGAUAGCGAACAAGUACCGUGAGGGAAAGAUGAAAAGAACUUUGAAAAGAGAGUUAAACAGUACGUGAAAUUGUCAAAAGGGAAGCGUUUGACACCAGUGUUGUUUUUCUGAAAAUCAAUUAAAGAACUGUUUAUGCUAAGUUGUUUAGACUUUAUCAGCUAACUGUUUAGUUUUGAGCUUUUCUUUAAUGCACUUUUCAGUUAACAAGUCAACAUCAAUUUCUUUUGCUGUAAAAAAGCUUGAGGAAGGUGGCUUGAGAUUCGUCUUAAGUGUUUAUAGCCUCUUGCCUAUGCAGUCGGAGAGAUUGAGGUCUGCAGCGUAGAUCCUUCGGGGCUAAAUGCAUUUGUGCUAAGUCAUAGCAUUUUAUAGACAACUUGUUGACUAUGAUUUGUCUUGUAGCUUACUCGCUUAUGUUAUUUUACCUACGCUUAGGAUGUUGACUGAUAUGUAGUCGUA